RNAcentral lists this ribosomal RNA (468 nucleotides) under uncultured bacterium. RNAcentral describes it as "partial 16S ribosomal RNA". It matches the Rfam family "Bacterial small subunit ribosomal RNA", at positions 28 to 507 of the family's 1533-position model. The record is from RNAcentral.
GAUGAACGCUGGCGGCGUGCUUAACACAUGCAAGUCGAACGGAAAGGCCCAAGCUUGCUUGGGUACUCGAGUGGCGAACGGGUGAGUAACACGUGGGUGAUCUGCCCUGCACUUCGGGAUAAGCCUGGGAAACUGGGUCUAAUACCGGAUAGGACGAUGGUUUGGAUGCCAUUGUGGAAAGUUUUUUCGGUGUGGGAUGAGCUCGCGGCCUAUCAGCUUGUUGGUGGGGUAAUGGCCUACCAAGGCGUCGACGGGGAGCCGGCCUGAGAGGGUGUACGGCCACAUUGGGACUGAGAUACGGCCCAGACUCCUACGGGAGGCAGCAGUGGGGAAUAUUGCACAAUGGGCGCAGGCCUGAUGCAGCGACGCCGCGUGGGGGAUGACGGCCUUCGGGUUGUAAACUCCUUUCGCUAGGGACGAAGCGUUUUUGUGACGGUACCUGGAGAAGAAGCACCGGCUAACUACGUG